CAGCCAGACUCCUACGGGAGGCAGCAGUGGGGAGUAUUGCACAAUGGGGGAAACCCUGAUGCAGCGACGCCGCGUGAGUGAAGAAGUAUUUCGGUAUGUAAAGCUCUAUCAGCAGGGAAGAAAAUGACGGUACCUGACUAAGAAGCCCCGGCUAACUACGUGCCAGCAGCCGCGGUAAUACGUAGGGGGCAAGCGUUAUCCGGAUUUACUGGGUGUAAAGGGAGCGUAGACGGCCAGACAAGUCAGAAGUGAAAGCCCAGGGCUCAACCCUGGGACUGCUUUUGGAACUGUAAGGCUAGAGUGUCGGAGAGGCAGGCGGAAUUCCUAGUGUAGCGGUGAAAUGCGUAGAUAUUAGGAGGAACACCAGUGGCGAAGGCGGCCUGCUGGACGAUGACUGACGUUGAGGCUCGAAAGCGUGGGGAGCAAACAGGAUUAGAUACCCUGGUAA
RNAcentral lists this ribosomal RNA (448 nucleotides) under uncultured bacterium. RNAcentral describes it as "bacterial SSU rRNA". It matches the Rfam family "Bacterial small subunit ribosomal RNA", at positions 328 to 793 of the family's 1533-position model. The record is from RNAcentral.